Molecule: ribosomal RNA, 468 nt
Filed under: uncultured bacterium
Lineage: Bacteria
Description: partial 16S ribosomal RNA
Rfam family: Bacterial small subunit ribosomal RNA
Source: RNAcentral
GACGAACGCUGGCGGCGUGCUUAACACAUGCAAGUCGAACGGAAAGGCCCUGCUUUUGUGGGGUGCUCGAGUGGCGAACGGGUGAGUAACACGUGAGUAACCUGCCCUUGACUUUGGGAUAACUUCAGGAAACUGGGGCUAAUACCGGAUAGGAGCUCCUGCUGCAUGGUGGGGGUUGGAAAGUUUCGGCGGUUGGGGAUGGACUCGCGGCUUAUCAGCUUGUUGGUGGGGUAGUGGCUUACCAAGGCUUUGACGGGUAGGCGGCCUGAGAGGGUGACCGGCCACAUUGGGACUGAGAUACGGCCCAGACUCCUACGGGACGCAACAGUGGGGAAUAUUGCACAAUGGGCGGAAGCCUGAUGCAGCAACGCCGCGUGCGGGAUGACGGCCUUCGGGUUGUAAACCGCUUUCGCCUGUGACGAAGCGUGAGUGACGGUAAUGGGUAAAGAAGCACCGGCUAACUACGUG